AUACAUCUAAAACCCAACUUAAAGGGGAAGUGUCCGAGUGAGUUAUGUGAUUGAUUGUGUAAUUAUAUCAAAAAGGUAUUCAUUAGAUUGAUUUUAUAGCUCUUUUAAGGAUCUAGUAAUUGACCAAAUUUGUUCAUAUAUAAGAAUAUUUAGUUUAUUGACCAAAUUUGUUUACAUAAAAGAAUAUUUAGUUUAUUGACCAAAUUUGUUUAUACAUAAGAAUAUUUAGUUUACAGGAUUUCUUUUCCUACUUUUAAGUUGCAACCUAUAUAUUUCCUCCAUAAACUGAAGAAACCACUCAUUGAAUAAAAACUCAUAUCCAAAGACUCUAUUAUCUGACAAAACCAAUAUAUAUACAUAUACACAAUAAGCAUGAGUCGGGCAGUUCUGGUUUGGUUCUUCUUGGUGGUAACCCUAAUCUUGAAUUUGAGAACCGUAGGAGGAGUUGUGGGUGAAACUUAUCAUGUUCACAUCAUGAAUGGUCUGCAAACUAACUCGCACGCACUAAUCGUACGGUGCAAGUCGAAAAACGAUGAUCUGGGCAGGCACGUUUUGUGGAAAGAUGGCGAUUUUACUUUCCAUUUGAAGGUGAAUUUUUGGCAGACAACUCUCUUCUUUUGCGGCUGGAACUGGGGAAACAAGCGAGCCAUGUUUGAUGUUUUUAAAGCUGAUGAUGAAGGACAUGAAUGUGCCCAAACAGGAAACUGUUACUGGCAAGCUAGAGAAGAUGGUUUUUACUUCACUGCUAAUACAACUAUGUCAUGGGUCCAUAAGUAUAACUGGAAUAAUUAAUUUAUAUAUAUCCAUUAUCUGAUCUAAUCUAUUUUCAAUGAAAAAUAGUGGGUUUGAAUAAAAUUCUGAAAUUUUUGAAGAAAUAUUAUAUUUAUAUCAAAACUGGCAUACAUAUAUAUAUUAUCUAAUUAAUGAAAUAUGUAAAUUUUAAAUAAAAAAACAACCUCCAAAACUUUGUUCAUGCUCCAAUAUCCUACUCAUACUUAAUAUUCCUAUUUUCUUUCUGAAGAAAAAGGCAUAGAGCUCAAAAAACAAUUUGUAGAAAUCAAUUCAAAUGAUAAGCAUAAAAUAGAAAGAGGAGAGAGAGAUCAAACCAGUUAAUAGCAGAAAAUCCUCACUUUUGUCUUUAAGGAAACAUUAGAAGUCAUUUACAAACUUCUUCCCUGUUGAAUUCCCUACUAAAAAACGAGAACUCAACCAAAAUCCAACAUAUCCAGCAAGAAAUGUNNNN
This 1243-nucleotide long non-coding RNA is filed under the name Carica papaya (papaya). RNAcentral describes it as "long non-coding RNA (CPAP_LNC005048)". The record is from RNAcentral. Lineage: Eukaryota; Viridiplantae; Streptophyta; Magnoliopsida; Brassicales; Caricaceae.